This 497-nucleotide ribosomal RNA is filed under the name uncultured bacterium. Its description in RNAcentral is "partial 16S ribosomal RNA". It matches the Rfam family "Bacterial small subunit ribosomal RNA", at positions 28 to 507 of the family's 1533-position model. The record is from RNAcentral.
GAUGAACGCUGGCGGCGUGCCUAAUACAUGCAAGUCGAGCGAACAGACGAGGAGCUUGCUCCUCUGACGUUAGCGGCGGACGGGUGAGUAACACGUGGAUAACCUACCUAUAAGACUGGGAUAACUUCGGGAAACCGGAGCUAAUACCGGAUAAUAUAUUGAACCGCAUGGUUCAAUAGUGAAAGACGGUUUUGCUGUCACUUAUAGAUGGAUCCGCGCCGCAUUAGCUAGUUGGUAAGGUAACGGCUUACCAAGGCAACGAUGCGUAGCCGACCUGAGAGGGUGAUCGGCCACACUGGAACUGAGACACGGUCCAGACUCAUACGGGAGGCAGCAGUAGGGAAUCUUCCGCAAUGGGCGAAAGCCUGACGGUGCAACGCCGCGUGAGUGAUGAAGGUCUUCGGAUCGUAAAACUCUGUUAUUAGGGAAGAACAAAUGUGUAAGUAACUAUGCACGUCUUGACGGUACCUAAUCAGAAAGCCACGGCUAACUACGUG